CCAAUAUUCAAUGAAAGGCUACAUAUUUUACUAACUUUCGCAUACCAGGACUAAUAAGUAGAGUAAUUAAAGCUAAUUACUUUAUACGUGCAAAUAGUAAGAGUGGCAAACUGUAAAACAGAUUUUUUAUAAUUUGUAUGGUUUUUCUUACUGAAAAUUUUACUGUCGGAAGAGUUUGGAUUGAGACUGUCCUUUUAGAUACUCGCGAUAGUAUGUUAGGGUUUUGGGUUUUUUUUUUUUUUCUUGGGGGGAGACAUAAGUUUCCUUUGAUGCAUUCUGGUGGUAAAUGCUGCAAGUCCAGAAUAAAUGAAAUGAAGAUCUGGGCUUACAGACAAAUCUGCACCUGCAGGCAUGAUUGUAGACAUGGGCCCAACUGAUCCCCAUGUUGAGACUGCUGAGGAUGCACCCACUUCAAAGAAAAAGACCACCUUGGGGAGCUUCAAGACCACUGAGGGAACCACACUAAGACCCCCACCACAAAAAAAGCUAUAUCCUGAGUUACAGUCUUAUCUACAAUUGGACAACAUUGACAGUGAAGAGGACCCGCUGGACUGGUGGAGGGAACACCAGAGACUCUAUCCACGACUCUCAAAACUAGCAAAAAAGUACUUGUGCAUUCCAGCCACAAGCACUGGGGGAAAUGUAGUGACCUACCCUUGCUCGUCUCUCAAGCCAGAAAAUGUGGACAGGCUCCAUUCUUGCCAAAAACCUGUAAACACCACGUUAUGGGGCAGUGGUGGCUCGAUGGUUAAGGCUCUGGGUUACUGAACAGAAGGUCAGGGGUCCAAGCCCCAGCACUGCCAAGCUGCCACUGUUGGGGGCCCUUGAGCAAGGCCCUUAACCCUCUCUGCUCCAGGGGUGCAGUAUCAUGGCUGACACUGCACUCUGACCCUAACAUUGUUUGAAUUUCACUGUGCUGUAAUUUAUGUGACUAAUAAAGACUAAAGAUAUUUCUUUUUCUGCAUA
Ictalurus punctatus (channel catfish) is the source of this 966-nucleotide RNA transcript. RefSeq lists it as uncharacterized. NCBI's taxonomy places the organism in Eukaryota, Metazoa, Chordata, Actinopteri, Siluriformes, Ictaluridae. The record is from RefSeq and is a predicted model, not a curated record. The transcript has 3 exons.